This 244-nucleotide unclassified non-coding RNA is filed under the name plant metagenome. Its description in RNAcentral is "partial contains small subunit ribosomal RNA, internal transcribed spacer 1, and 5.8S ribosomal RNA". The record is from RNAcentral.
UCUCCGUUGGUGAACCAGCGGAGGGAUCAUUACAGGACUCGCAAGUCUCCUACAACCCUGUGAACUUAACUAUAAGCACGUUGCUUCGGCGGGUGUCUCAGAGGGGGUUCUCCCUCCCCGAGACGCUAAACCCGCCGGCAGCCUACUAUACUCUGUCUCUUUGCGUUGGCAUCUCGAGUACAAUCAAACAAGUUAAAACUUUCAACAACGGAUCUCUUGAUUCUGGCAUCGAUGAGAACGCAGC